GGGGGCGUGGCGAAAUUGGUAGACGCACUGGAUUUAGGUUCCAGCGCCGCAAGGUGUAAGAGUUCGAGUCUCUUCGCCCCCACUA
This 85-nucleotide transfer RNA is filed under the name Acinetobacter baumannii 323408. RNAcentral describes it as "tRNA-Leu". It matches the Rfam family "tRNA". From Rfam's summary of the family: Transfer RNA (tRNA) molecules are approximately 80 nucleotides in length. The record is from RNAcentral. Lineage: Bacteria; Pseudomonadati; Pseudomonadota; Gammaproteobacteria; Moraxellales; Moraxellaceae.